This 254-nucleotide ribosomal RNA is filed under the name uncultured bacterium. Its description in RNAcentral is "partial 16S ribosomal RNA". It matches the Rfam family "Bacterial small subunit ribosomal RNA", at positions 524 to 776 of the family's 1533-position model. The record is from RNAcentral.
UACGGGGGGAGCAAGCGUUGUUCGGAUUUACUGGGCGUAAAGGGCGCGUAGGCGGCCACUGCAAGUCAGUUGUGAAAUCUCCGGGCUUAACCCGGAAAGGUCAACUGAUACUGCAGGGCUAGAGUGCAGAAGGGGCAACUGGAAUUCUCGGUGUAGCGGUGAAAUGCGUAGAUAUCGGGAGGAACACCAGAGGCGAAGGCGGGUUACUGGGCUGAUACUGACGCUGAUGCGCGAAAGCCAGGGGAGCAAACGGG